AUUGAACGCUGGCGGAAUGCUUUACACAUGCAAGUCGAGCGGCAGCGCGGGGGCAACCCUGGCGGCGAGCAGCGAACGGGUGAGUAAUGCAUCGGAACGUACCCAGUAAUGGGGGAUAACUGUCCGAAAGGACAGCUAAUACCGCAUACGCCCUGAGGGGGGUAAAGCGGGGGUAUCGCAAGACCUCGCGUUAUUGGAGCGGCCGAUGUCGGAUUAGCUAGUUGGUGGGGUAAAGGCCUACCAAGGCGACGAUCCGUAGCUGGUCUGAGAGGACGACCAGCCACACUGGAACUGAGACACGGUCCCAGACUCCUACGGGAGGCAGCAGUGGGGAAUUUUGGACAAUGGGGGUCAACCCUGAUCCAGCCAUUCCGCGUGAGUGAAGAAGGCCUCGGGUUGUAAAGCUCUUUCGGCA
RNAcentral lists this ribosomal RNA (415 nucleotides) under uncultured bacterium. Its description in RNAcentral is "bacterial SSU rRNA". It matches the Rfam family "Bacterial small subunit ribosomal RNA", at positions 30 to 441 of the family's 1533-position model. The record is from RNAcentral.